ACGAGUUCCAACAUCCGUGCCAAAAUUUCCCACUGAGAUCCAACAUCCUUGCCAGGAAAUGAAUAUAGGAUGGUACAGAGGAAGUGUCGAACUGAACGAUUGAGAAAACUAAGCCGAGUCUGGUAAAGCGGGUUGCGUAUGCUCAUCGAGUUGUUGCUGAAUCAGACAAAGAUAUUAUUCAAUAUGGGAUGCAAGGGUUAUGUGGGAUCAGAAAACUAGACGUUCACGUGGUUUUGAACAAUGGGUGUUGGUGGUAUCGUGAAGUUAUGAAAAGAGGUUCCGAAUACAUCCAUUCUCAGCAGCAAUAAUGUUCCCAUUAAGAAACUGUGUGGUGUUGGUGUUGACAGAGCAUUGCAAAUGAUAAACAAAAACAACUCACCCCUUAUCAAGGUCGUGCUUGCACGUAGCAGCGUAAUUAGGACCUCCCCUGAUAUUGAUCCUUUGACAUGGUUGGCAACUUUACAGGU
Helianthus annuus (common sunflower) is the source of this 467-nucleotide long non-coding RNA. RefSeq lists it as uncharacterized. The record is from RefSeq and is a predicted model, not a curated record. NCBI's taxonomy places the organism in Eukaryota, Viridiplantae, Streptophyta, Magnoliopsida, Asterales, Asteraceae. The transcript has 4 exons.